GUGGGGAAUAUUGGACAAUGGGCGAAAGCCUGAUCCAGCCAUGCCGCGUGUGUGAAGAAGGUCUUCGGAUUGUCAAGCACUUUAAGUUGGGAGGAAGGGCAGUAUGUUAAUACCUUGCUGUUUUGACGUUACCGACAGAAUAAGCACCGGCUAACUUCGUGCCAGCAGCCGCGGUAAUACGAAGGGUGCAAGCGUUAAUCGGAAUUACUGGGCGUAAAGCGCGCGUAGGUGGUUUUGUAAGUUGGAGGUGAAAUCCCCGGGCUCAACCUGGGAACUGCCUCCAAAACUGCAUGACUAGAGUACGGUAGAGGGUAGUGGAAUUUCCUGUGUAGCGGUGAAAUGCGUAGAUAUAGGAAGGAACACCAGUGGCGAAGGCGACUACCUGGACUGAUACUGACACUGAGGUGCGAAAGCGUGGGGAGCAAACAGGAUUAGAUACCCUUGUAGUCC
This 450-nucleotide ribosomal RNA is filed under the name uncultured bacterium. RNAcentral describes it as "partial 16S ribosomal RNA". It matches the Rfam family "Bacterial small subunit ribosomal RNA", at positions 354 to 796 of the family's 1533-position model. The record is from RNAcentral.